GGUUUUCCUUUUAAAUAUUUGACAUCAAUAAUAAAAUACACCUCACACUUUCUCAUAGACUCAUACCCUCAAAAACUUUCCACCCAAACAUAAUUUAUUUGCUUUCAUUUGAUAUUUAUUCGCUAAAAGAGGGAGGGUAGAGUUUAAAGCUUAAAGUUUAGCAAUAAAAAAAUAAUGAUGUAAACAUAAAAGGGAGAAAAGGGGGCAGAUGCAUGACCCUCUACUCAUGGGUACAAGUCCAAGAAGACAUAAGUGUACAAUAUAUGAAUGAAAGAGACAUUUGGUUGAAUAACAGGUUUUGAUAGUUUACAUCAUCACGUAGGUAAAUUAACAUUUACAAUCACCAUAAAGGACACAGGAGAAAUACAAAGAAACAAAAAAUCAGAAAGGUCAAUUGUGCUAAGCAAAGAAAUAAAAAACUUGCAACAUAUGGUAGUCCAUACAUCAUUUUAGAAUUGUUUGUUUGAUUAGUUCCUGGCAUAAAAAAUGAUUCUACUAGAAUAGAACCAGAUUGUGUGGAAAACAACAAGAAAAAAAAAAAUUUAUGUUCUGCAUCUUAUUCACGUGUCUAGAACCUAAGACCCAUCCUGACUCCACUCUAUAUUUUCACUGCUUGAGGUAACAUGUUCAGAGUCUAUUUGGAGCAUAAUUGUCCAGUUCUUUCCUUUCACUAAAAGACAAUAUAAGAUUGCUGAUAUUACAGCAAGUUAUUGCUAUGAUUUAAACAUAAAUCAUCACUUUAAAAAUCUAACUCGGAUGAGAAGGCAAUAUGACCCAGACAAACAUGCAAACAGAUACAAGUGAACUGAACAUAGGUGCUAGUCAUCCUUUAUGUAGAAAUCUAAGGUUUUCAAAGGAAGUAUUGCCAUCUAAUGUUUUGUCAAAAACUUGUAGAAAUGUGCUGACUCUAGUCUCUUACUAGUUUGGGGUUAAGCUUGGUCGUUGUUGUUGCAGACAUGUGGAUUCAAAGUUGUACAAGAAUAUGUAAAACUUACCAAAUUCAAGGACCGACAUUAGAUUUCAU
Molecule: unclassified non-coding RNA, 1024 nt
Filed under: Hevea brasiliensis (rubber tree)
Lineage: Eukaryota; Viridiplantae; Streptophyta; Magnoliopsida; Malpighiales; Euphorbiaceae
Source: RNAcentral